This 858-nucleotide long non-coding RNA is filed under the name Oryza sativa (Asian cultivated rice). RNAcentral's name for it is "long non-coding RNA (OSAT_LNC000981)". The record is from RNAcentral. Lineage: Eukaryota; Viridiplantae; Streptophyta; Magnoliopsida; Poales; Poaceae.
CGGCGGCGGCGGCUAAUCCACCUUCCUGCGCCCCCACACCUCGGCCUUCGCCUCCUAUCUGCGGUGGUGGAGCUCGGCCUCCGCCUCAAGCAGCUAGCCGACGCCGCAGUGGCAGUUGGCCAUGGUGCGGCGCAUGAAGGCGCACUCGUUGAUGAGCUUGGAGUAGAGCUGGUGGCCGGUAGACGGUCCUGAGCCGGUCGAGCUUGCGCUGGUCCUCGGAGGUGAAGAGCGCCACUAUUAUUAGCUAAUAAACUUGUGCAUGUUUAGUUUAUCUCCUUCCGCUGUUUUUUCGUUGCUUUCUAUUUUUCAGUUAGGGUGCACAGCUGCGUUUGUGUAGUUGUGCAAGUUGAGCUUUGAUGUGCGUAGAAUCAAACACUUGUGCCCCUAUUUGUUCGAUCUCUCUCGCAUACAAACUCUUGCAGGUUUUUGCUAAAGCUGCCGGGUUUUCACUGAUAGCCACGAUUCAGGCGAGGAAGCCCCGGUCGACAUGGUUCCGGCUCGGAGCAUCCCGGCGUCCGCGGUGACGACCGCAGCGGUGAGGACGUCGUACACAAACCGGAGGUGUAGCCACGACGGGAGCAGUACCAUCACGGGCACAUCAGAAGGCAUGGCCGACACAGGACUGCCUCGAGGAGGAGCAUGGCAGAGCCCAAUGCUAGAGCAAAACCGGAUAGGAAUCGGAGGCUGAGCUCCAUCGCCGCGGAUAGGAGGCAGAGGCGUGGGGGCGCGGGAAGGCGGAUCCGCUGCCACCGACCUCUCCCUCUCGUCUUCGCGGGCAUCGGUCUGUUCCUGGACCUUGGAGAAGAGGGAGACCCCAGAGAGAGAAAAGGAUAGAGGUGGAGAAAGUGAGACUGACAU